Molecule: transfer RNA, 71 nt
Filed under: Ictidomys tridecemlineatus (thirteen-lined ground squirrel)
Lineage: Eukaryota; Metazoa; Chordata; Mammalia; Rodentia; Sciuridae
Description: Spermophilus tridecemlineatus (thirteen-lined ground squirrel) tRNA
Rfam family: tRNA
About the family: Transfer RNA (tRNA) molecules are approximately 80 nucleotides in length. Their secondary structure includes four short double-helical elements and three loops (D, anti-codon, and T loops).
Source: Rfam by way of RNAcentral
GGUAUAUAGCUCAGUGGUAGAGCACUUGCCUACGAUGUGUAAGACCCUGGAUUCAAUCCCCAGUACUGCCA